RNAcentral lists this ribosomal RNA (404 nucleotides) under Actinomycetes bacterium. RNAcentral's name for it is "Actinobacteria bacterium partial 16S ribosomal RNA". It matches the Rfam family "Bacterial small subunit ribosomal RNA", at positions 355 to 776 of the family's 1533-position model. The record is from RNAcentral. Lineage: Bacteria; Bacillati; Actinomycetota; Actinomycetes.
UGGGGAAUAUUGGACAAUGGGCGCAAGCCUGAUCCAGCCAUGCCGCGUGAGUGAUGAAGGCCCUAGGGUUGUAAAGCUCUUUCACCGGUGAAGAUAAUGACGGUAACCGGAGAAGAAGCCCCGGCCAACUUCGUGCCAGCAGCCGCGGUAAUACGAAGGGGGCUAGCGUUGUUCGGAUUUACUGGGCGUAAAGCGCACGUAGGCGGACUAUUAAGUCAGGGGUGAAAUCCCGGGGCUCAACCCCGGAACUGCCUUUGAUACUGGUAGUCUUGAGUUGGUGGUAGGUGCGUGGAAUUCCGAGUGUAGUGGUGAAAUUCUUAGAUAUUCGGAAGAACCCCAGUGGCGAAGGCGUCUCACUGGCUCGAUACUGACGCUGAGGUGCGAAAGCGUGGGGAGCAAACAGU